This is a long non-coding RNA of Terrapene triunguis (Three-toed box turtle), 5296 nucleotides long. RefSeq lists it as uncharacterized. The transcript is spliced from 2 exons. The record is from RefSeq and is a predicted model, not a curated record. NCBI's taxonomy places the organism in Eukaryota, Metazoa, Chordata, Testudines, Emydidae.
GUUACAGACUGUUGGAAACUCGGGAUCUGCUAAUGGGAUCCAUCAACAGGAUAAAUCCCACAAGCAGGAGGAGAAGCACUGAUAGAGAAGAAGAGCUGGAGAGGACCAUUUCAUGCCAGUAUCUCCUUCUGCGCCCCAACAGGAAAAGGAUGCACCUCCUAAAGACUAGCAACAGUAUUUUCACUUUAAAAGCAGGACUGUUUAUAAUGUACUAACUGACCUAAGUAGGACAAUCCCUUGGUUCGUAUUUUCUAAGACGAGCAUCAUUCCAGAAGGAGCGGUAUGGCAACCUACCUGUGUAAAGAGCCUUUUGUUUUGCUUUCUUAUCCGUAUCGGUUUUGACUGUGAAAUUUGUAUCGGCUGAGUGAACAAUCUCCAUUCAUCCUACCUGAACAAUGUGGUCUGGUUGAGAGCUGAUGGCUGAAACGUCAUCAGUGAUUCCUAGAACCCUAGAGGAAAUGCAAAGGGGUUUGCUUGGGGCAUUAGAAAAUUCCUAAGUGUGCUCCCAAAGGCUGCACUCUCCACGCCAGGUAAUCCCUGACCCUCUCCCCCACCCACCCACUCACAUAGUAUGAAGAACUACAGAAAUGAGUCAAACCUGCUAGGCUGACUGUGCUCAAGCCAGUAAGCAUGGAUUGUAGAAGAAGAGCUGCUGGGACAGUCCUCCCCCUUCCCUGCAUAGAAGACCUCUCAGCUGUAGCCCUCGGAGACUCCACUUAGUACUGUAUGAUAGCACAGGUGGAACCUCAUCUGAUUUCAGGUGAUAUAAUUUAUUUCAGCUGUUUGUGAGUCAGUGUUUACUCUGAGUUGAUGAAGGGGAGGGAGCCUCUGGUGGGGGUGAGUACAGGUCUCCUUAGCCUCUCUCCUCCGAGAGGUCUCUUAGCAGGACCGGCUGUGCCGGGGCCCAGAGCCAGGGCCCAUGGGGGUGUUGUGGCAUGUGGUGGCACUGUAGGCCCGUACACAGCAAAGCUUUGGAGGCAGCUGGCUAGAACCUUUGUAUGCCUGUUUGUGAGGGUCUGGGCAGAAAACCCACACACAGGAUGUAGUCGCAUCGGACAGAGGCUGCUAGGCUCUGAUUCCCUCUCCACUGCUAUCCACAGAACGGUAAUCACUAGCUGGAAGAGUUGGGCCAGCCUAGCAUUAGGCUGCUUUGGGGUUGCCCCUACCAUUCUCAGUACAAUAUCCAACGGGAGAGGGUAACAUGUUGCUGGGAGCACUCGUGCAAGAGUGCCGUAUACCAGGGACUGAGGAGGAUAGUGAAACAAAGGCCGUCUAGAGCAGACGAGCUCCAGCUGUAACCAGAGCAGAUUUCUGUUCUUUCCUCUAUUUGCUGGGCACCUCAGACUCCCCCUACUUGCUGUAAGUGGGAGUUUGGGGUGCAGGUUUGGGCUCCAAAAUGACACUGAAGGUCACAUUUGUAAAGCAGGAGCUCCAUGCCAUGUGCACAGAAAUCCAGGCACAACUGAGCACCCAGAUUUGCACAAAGAACUGUUGCCGUUGUGGGUGCGGAGAGCCAGUUGGCCACCUCUGUAGCCAUCUGCAAUAACUGUCCAUGCAGGAGGAGGAACCCCACUGCCUGUGUGCAUUUGCAUAUGGACCGGUCCCUAUGCCAAGGGCUAUAUUCUAGUCUCAGUCUUUGCACUAAACUCCCAUUGGGCUGAAUGGGAUGAUACUUGGGUGGAGUGAGGGUGGAAUAUGGUCCUAAGUGUCUGAGACAAACCCCUGGCUCUGAAAAGGAGCAUUCGCCUUUCGAUACCCUGGGACCAGAGGGAUGGGGCAGCUUCCCAAGGGGGGAUCAGUACCUGGAAUGUGGGGCAGGGCUUAGAUUGACAUAUUGCAGCACCAGAGAAACGACUAAAAUUUAAUGGCAAUCCCCUGGUUCUGGGGGAGAAGCGGCUCGUCAUGGAAACAAACGACUGUUCUUGAUGCUGUUUGAUCCUUCCCCCCGCCCUCCUCCAAGGGAAUUAAUUGCAGAAUCCCUUUUGGGAGGUACACAAAUCAAAUUGUUUCCUAUUUCUCUGGAAAUGCAGCAUUUUGGCUAUAUUUACUAUAACGCGGCCAAACGACGUUAGGGUGUGAACAGCUCCGUCUCUUCUCUGGGCGGCCCUGUGCCUCUCUGAAAUGCCUAGAUCAAGUCCACCUCUCUGCUCCGCUCUCCAGCUCUCUGCUGCACAUCCUGGGCUAGAACUCCCGUGGACGUGGACAAGAGCUCCCAGCGUGGCAGGACACGGCAUAGGUGUUGACUUCCUGUGAAGCAGAACCGUUGCACAUGAGCUGGGAAUCUGGCCCUUCGUUUUCCUGUCUGAUUUUUCUUCAGCCACUUUUGGCUACUCUGAAAUUCUCCAGCCGCACAGAGUCUGGGGCAGCCCGAGGCAAACUGGGAAAGAGCUUUGCCCCACCCCUCCAAGUCUCCUGCACUCGGGAAGCCACUAGACCGCUUGCCGGGCGGUGAAAUAGAGCUAGGCCCUUUUCACCUGGUGGGAAUGGUGGAGACCGGAUCUGUUUCAAUGGUUGAGAUAAGGAGGUGGGUUCAGGAAAGUGAGGCAUGUUAGGAGAAGAAGCCUAAAUUUGGCUAAUGAGUUCAGAGGGUUAACGGGAGUUCAGGUGGGACAGGUCCUGCGGUGUGGAACCAGCCCCCUCUACCUGCAUAGAAGAAUAAAGCACUAAUCAUUGCCUCAGGCUUGGAUUUUCAAAGAGCCUAAGGAGCCAAAAGCCCAUUGCUAGACAAUGGGACUUGUCACCUGAUUCCCCUAGUCUCCUUUGAAAAUCCCAGCACAAGUGUGUAAAAUGUAAUAACCAAGCAAAACUCAUGAGCAGCAGGAGGUGCCGUUUUGAUCAUUUGGGGGGUGGUAUUUUCAAAAGUGUCCAGCAUUGGCUGCCUGACUCUGCUCCUGCUGAAAUUAAUGGUCAAAUGCCCACUGACAUCAAUGGGAGCAUUCGGGGCAAUGCCACGGGCUUUGGAAAACGCCUCCCAGGGCUUAGGGAAGGCAGCACCCAUGUGAGUUCACAGGAGUUCCUGGGACUUACCAAGUGGGAAGGGGGGGUUCGAUUUUGUAAUCAAUCUAUAUUUAUUUUCUGUCUAGUUUGCAAGUGACAAGCCCCCGUUAUCUAAAGAGGAUUAAAUGGCAACUUUCUGCGUCGCUUUGCAACCCUCCUGCUUCCCCGGGUUCAAACAGGAGCUGCCCGCUGGGUGGUGUGCUCUAUGGGCUGGGCUGAAUGGGGCAAAGCUCUGAAGCGAGUGGCACUGCCCUGAAACCAGAGGAGAAUUUGACCUAUCAAGAUGUAUCAGGCCAGUGUACCUGAGCCCAUUCGGUGACCGGGAGAAGGUAGAAGAGAGCCUGCUUUGUAAGCUGGCUUUGACUGUCUUCUCAGGAUCUAAUGCUCUCUAGGAUAUAACUGAGGGGAGAGUAGCCUUCCAGGGAUAGGCCUGGAUGGCCUUACCACAGCAAUGGGCCGCACUGAAUCACACGCUGUCCCGCAGGCUCUGAGUUUGCCCUUUUGGAAAGAGAUCUCUGCACAGAGAGCACCAGCGUGGGGCGAACCCGUUCUGGGACACACCAGUGCAGCCCCAGGCUCUGCCCCUGUGCACCCAGCCAUGUAGGCUCAGCGCCCCAUUUCCAGCUCGCCCUGCGGGCGGGAGAGUUACAACCGAAACAGAUGCCCCUGCUCAGGAGAGCCCAGCCAGGAGCUGCAUGGCUCAGGAAUGCAGAUCACACAGGGUGCAUGUCCUCCCUGUGCGGCGGGGCCAGCACGAGGCCUGUCUUCCACUGAAGUCCUGCAGAAGUGAAACAGGCACCAGAGACAGCGGGGAGGGAUUUCCCGAGUGCACACAGCUCAUGCUGGCCCUCUGCUCAGGUGCCAGCUGCACCCGUAGAUUUUAGGAGACCAAAUUAGAACGAAACACAGAAAGUGACAAGUCAGAGGGUCCCCUUCCACCACAUUUAUUUAUAAGCUUCACGCGACUUUUGCCCAGUACAGUGGUACAUAAAGUACUCUGCAACAUUCUGUGUAACUGGCAUCUUCAGUAUUUUUUUUUUUGCGGGGGAAGUGUGUGUGGGCGCGGGGGUCAUCAAAGGGAAGUUAUGCAGCCAACUCCCAUUGGCAGUCAGUAGGAGUUGGGUGCCUAGCUCCCAUUUGAAAAUCUCUCCAGCGUUAAUCCCAGUGAUCUUGUUCAGAGCUUCAAAUCUGAAGUAAGAUAGGGGGCUGCUUUCUCCUCCGUGACCCCCCCGGUUGUCUCCAUUGCAUGUUCCAUGCUGAUGUCACACCCAGGGCUGUGUGCAGAAUAUGCCUCAGGGAUCAACAACUGCAGUGUGGGUGAGAAGGGAGAAUUUUUCCUCUCCAGUCAAGGGGUCUUGCGUGAGAGCUAGUGACCUGGAAAAGCAGUGCUGAGCUGUCUGCUCCACCCAUGCGCCCUUCCCAUUCGAAGAGCAAUUAAGGGCCUGCACAGUAGUUGAAUCCGUAGGAAUUAUGAGUCCACGCUGUUGAAAAUUGGACUUUCUAUCCAUUGUAUUAGUUCAGUGGCUGGAAGAGUUUUUUGUUUUGUUUUCCCACUGAAGGCUGAGAAAUCAUCUGAAGAAUAAAGUCUCCAUGCCAGCCGGACAGGCUCUUGAAGAUCCAGAUUAGCAACCUUUUCCUCUCAUCCUAGCUAAAGAGAAAUCGUACAAGCAUUUGGAUGGCAGUACUGGCUUUAUCCUUUUCAGAGUUCAGAAAAGUGACGUGGACACACAGUCCCAUGCUAACACCCGUACCCAGUCAUGGGUCCGAAAUUUAUAGUCAAGACAUACCAGCUACUGCCCCAUCCCCUCCUCUGGUCAGUUCCUUUGACUUUCAGUGGAUAUGCAUGAUGGUUUCAUGAAAACAAACAAAAAGAUGCAAAUGAAACCUUCACAAGAUUCCAAUACCCCGUUGUGACAGCAGCUUUUAGCAGUUCACCACUAUCUUGUAGGGAAUUAUUAAUCCACUAAAAUCUAUAGGCCUCCAUGUAAGUUACCAGAAUAAAGGCGAUAGUAGAUGUAUAAAUGGAUGAUAACAUUUUACCCGUACAGUAUGUAUUACAAUUUUGUAGCUUAGUCAUUUUUUUGGCUAUCGAAUUUUGUGAGUAAGAUAAAAAAUGGUUUGACUGCUAAUGUUUGUUUUAUUUGAUUCUUUUCCCUCCCCUUCCUAUGUACAAACGCUGUACAAAUCUGAGUCCAUUGAGUGUAACUACAACCGAUGUGUAUUAAUGUACCACAGACCCCAAUAGUGGCUUGCUAAAGUGUGGUGAGCUCAUACUAAAACAAUAAAACUUGUGGCUGAA